RNAcentral lists this non-coding RNA (100 nucleotides) under Streptococcus pyogenes. The record is from RNAcentral. Lineage: Bacteria; Bacillati; Bacillota; Bacilli; Lactobacillales; Streptococcaceae.
AAAUAAAAAGAGUCUGAGCAAUCAUGUUGUCUUAGACUCUGACUGUAUUAUGCAAAAGAUGAUGGACUGGCAGCUUCAUUUACUCACCGAAUUCCCCUUU